ACUCAAAUGAAUUGACGGGGGCUUGCACAAGCGGUGGAGCGUGUGGCUUAAUUCGUCGCUAAGCGAAGAACCUUACCAGGGCUAGAAAUCCUACUGCACGCCUAUCGAAAGAUAGGAAGCCUUCGAGGGUGUAGGACAGGUGAUGCAUGGCUGUCGUCAGUUCGUGGUUUGAACCGUUCCCUUCAGUGGGGUAACGAACGCAACCCUCGUUGCCUGUUACACGUAUCAGGCGAGACUGCCCCCUCACGGGGGAGGAAGGUGAGGAUGACGCCAAGUCAGCAUGUCCCUCUGAUGCCCUGGGCUGCACACGCGCUACAAUGGCCGUUACAACGAGGCGCAAUGGGGCAACCCGGAGCAAAUCUUUAAAAGCGGCCUCAGUUCGGAUUGGGGUCUGCAACCCGACCCCAUGAAGCUGGAAUCGCUAGUAAUCGCGGAUCAGCCACGCCGCGGUGAAUACGUUCUCAAGCCUUGUACACACCGCCCGU
This 485-nucleotide ribosomal RNA is filed under the name uncultured bacterium. RNAcentral's name for it is "partial 16S ribosomal RNA". It matches the Rfam family "Bacterial small subunit ribosomal RNA", at positions 899 to 1397 of the family's 1533-position model. The record is from RNAcentral.